This 7785-nucleotide long non-coding RNA is filed under the name Populus trichocarpa (black cottonwood). RNAcentral's name for it is "long non-coding RNA (PTRI_LNC003077)". Lineage: Eukaryota; Viridiplantae; Streptophyta; Magnoliopsida; Malpighiales; Salicaceae. The record is from RNAcentral.
AAUCAGUAUUGAUAUGCAUUUUCAAGGAAUGGUAAUGGCGGGGGAUAUAAAAAUUCAUAUAAAAAUCACUGUGGUGAUUUGCAAGAGCAGAAAAUUUAAGGGGUUUUUUUGAGAAAUCUCUCGUGAACAGAUUGAGAGUGGUGGGAUUUUUGGGGUCCAUUCACUUGCCUGCCUUUUGGAUAAGAGUUGCUAAAUGGAAGCCAUCACAAGACGAAGCACGUUUCCUGCAUGGUGUUUAAGAACCUUUCACUGUAAUUCAGGAGCGACACUAUUUCUGUCAUCGUUUUCGUGGGACCAGGUCGAAGAACACAACAUGUUUUCUUCUUUCCAGAGGCGCAUGCUGCAUUACUUACAAAGCCGACAAAAGUAUUUACUACACCGAAUGAUAUUAGAUUUACAAAAAAAUCUUUCGAAUAUUCAGGGAUAAUAUUCCAGUCAGUAAAAUCCCAAAUAAUAGAUAGAGAUGAGGUUCGUAACUUUCCUUGGGACUGUGGGCCAAAGUUUGUGUCUUUUAUAAUUAGCUAAUCUUUUAAUUUUGGUAAUCUGAUUGAUUUUUUCUAGUAAAAAUAACUGGUGAUUAAUGUCCGAUCCCGAUGAAAGGUCUCAUUCAAGAAAGCUACCUCAAGAACCCGUUCAUUGUUUUCCCAUUAAAUCCUUUCUCAUAGCAUAAAUGUGCCACUGCUACCGCUUUUGGUAAUACCUGCUGUAAACAAAGUCUCGUUUCAAUGUUUGAAAGCCUUGUUGUGUUGCGUUGCUUUAACUAUUUUUACCAGUCUAUUUGUCCCUUCAGAGCCAAGUCCGCAUGCACCAUAAUUAUAAUGGCAUUGUGAUAAACAGGGUGCCUAGCUGGUGCUUUAACUGCAUAAACUUAUUUGGAAAAUAUUGUUAUGAUUGAAUCCUCAAGCUCAACAAAUCUCUUUAUGAAGUCUUCACCCAUAACAGUUUUUUGAAGCUGAUCAACACACACACCUUGGAUCAUGUCCAAUGCAAAACCAGUAAUCAACUCACCUUCGAAAUAAUUCCAUUGGGGUAGUUCCUAAACCUCCAUUGUUGCACAAUAAAUUCACCUUCAAGUCUAUUCAAUGUUAGUUCUUUCAUCUGCACUAACAAAUAGACGCAAACAAAAAGAGAGUAUGAAAAAAAGAAUAAUUUGAUGUGUUUGAGGUGCAGAGAAUCAACACCGUAAACAAAAAGAGAGCUUCCUUGGCAUCACAAGUCAUAGGGAUCUCACGCCAGAUCUCCACUUUGAAAAACUUACAUAUUAAUUUUUCUAGUUUUCAACACCCUUCAGCCGAAACCCACCUCUCUAAAAACUCCAUGCCAAAUCUCCACAAUACAUUCCAUACUGUCUUUUUUAUGUAAUUUUAUGUCUGACUAAAUAGCGAGGAACCAAGAUCUUUUUUUGCCCCGGUUAAACUCAUGUAAGCCAAAAUUUCAGCGGCUUUGAUGAUUAUUAUUUCUGAAUUUUUCAGUUUUAAGGUGUAAGAGUGAUUCUUGCAUUUUAGUUCUUGAACGAACUGAAUCUGACUUAUCGAAGAUUAAUUGGCUUCGUGGCAUCAUUCUACUCAAUCCAAUAGUGUUGGUGCCUUGGGGCAGGUUUUCAUUGUGUCACACUCCUAUCAGACCUUUUUCGGCUUUCCGGGAUCAAAUCUCAAUCUUGAUUAUGGGUUGCGUGACCGCGUGACACGAGGUUCGCAUCAGUUGGUAUCAGAGCUAGGCUCUGAAAUAAGGUCAUAUCCUUCUAUUAUUCUCGUUUUUUUAGUGUUCCUUUAAGUUUUUCAGUGUUUGCGUUCAUCUUCUUGUUCUUUAUGUCCGCGUUAUCUAAGCAAAAAAAAAAAAAAGAAGUUAUAUUUCUUCUUAUUAUUCAUAUUAUGUCUAUUGGGGGCAAGAUUACAUCAUAAAUCCAAUUUCCCACCAAAUCAAUCCAUACUCCGUAAACUCAAUUAUCACCAAUUUCACCUUCUUUUGUUUAGAAUAGCUAUGGCAAUCAAAAAUUCAAUCUACCUUUUUCUCCCACUCCAAAUAAGCCUCGGGAUCGUUUUUACCUUGAAAGUUAGGAAUUUUCAGUUUAAUUGUGUUCAAGUCCCCAUCCAUUUCUUCAUGAUGUGGACCAGCCCAGAAACACCAACAAGGACCCAUUACAUGUUCCAAAUGGUCCAAUGACUCGGUCCAAGACAAAAGCAUUGAAAGAGGCAUUGAAUGCAUUGGUUUUGAACGUUUCAACCAAGUCAGAAUUGAAAACUCCAUUAGAGUAUCAAGAGGAGACCCUAAUACAUCUUAUCCAUGUGCAAGAGGGAUCCAAUACAACCUUAUUUGGGCCAUGAGAUGAGGACAACGAAAAAAACAAAAGAAUCCUACUACAACUUGGAAACAACAUGGGUGGCUACCUUUUCCUUUUAUUUUUGGGAUUAAGGGGCUGCAUUGAAGGCUAUAAAUAAGCCUUGAAUUGGUUCUGUAAUAUUUUACUUCCUUCUUUUCUUCUCAUGGCAGAACAUGGAUUUAAUAUUAGGGGCUUUAUUCUUUUUUUUUUAGCAACAGCCCAAGGCUUGUGAUGAUUAUUAAUUCUGAAUUUUUCAGUUUUAACGUGUAAGAUGAUUCUUACAUUCUUCAGUUCUUGAACGAACUGAAUCUGACUUAUCGAAGAUUAACUAGCUUCGUGGUGUCAUUCUACUCAUUCCAAUAGUGUUGGUGCCUUGAGGCAGGUUUUCAUUGCGUCACACUCCUAUCAGAUCUAUUUCGGCUUUCCGGGAUCAGAUUUCAAUCUUAAUUAUGGGUUGCGUGACCACGAGAUUCGCAUCAGUUUUUUGUUCAAGAUCCCUUAACAAUUUGAUUUUCCCUUUUUCUAUUUUGUGAAUAAAAUUCUCUUAAAGUUGAUUUAUUAAAAUAAUAUUUAUGGAUCCAAUUAAGUCAUUUUUAAGAGAAUUAGAGAUUUUUAUGAUAAUAUUAGCAAUUUCUUUAAGAAUAAUUAUAUAUUAACUUAAAAUGCAUAAAUUUUAAAAUAAUUUGCUUGUUAAUUUUGAAUGAGAAUAAAAUAUCUAUUUUUUUAUAAUUUUCUUAAAUUUAUUAUUUCUAAAUUUAUUCAUAUAGUGAUUUCGACGAUGUUUCUGACCCAUGACAUCAUAAAAACCUUAAUAAAUUUAUUUCUAACAUCAAAGCAAUCUCUAAUCACUCUAAAAACUUGAGAUCCAACCAAAUAGAAAACAGUUUUACUAGUCUCGAUCUACUUUCUGUAGUAUGUUCAAAGAAAAAAAAUCAUCUUCAAUUAACUCUUCUCUCUAAGGAUAAUCCAUUGACACCACGAUAAACUUUUUAUGUGGUUGGAAUGCAGAUGAAUAAAUUAUUUCUCUAUCCUCUUUUUUUUUUUCCAAUGACUUGAUCUCUUCUCUCUCAACACCAAAGGCUGAAAUGUAAUAAAAAUAAAUAAGUUUAUAAUUGAAAUGUGCAAAAUUAAAAGCUCUAGAGACUAAACUUAUUUUUUUAUAUAAAUUAUAAAACUUAAAACCAUAAACAAUGAAAAAAAAGAGAGCUAUUUUUAAUUUUAAAUUUGGUCAUUGUUAUUUUUAUAUAAAUUAUAUUGUAAAAAAAGUUGUUAAUAUUAAUUAAAAUCCAUCACGGAACCUAAUCUUCCUUUUAAAGAGUAAAAGAUAGACGUGCAUGUAGAUAUUUUAUCUUGUGCCACAACACCCUCAUCCAUUUUUUUAUUUAAUUAUAUUAAAAUAAAAAUAGAUUUUUGUAAGACAAGUAAUGAUUUAGAUUAUGUAUAAAAAUGUUAAUUUUUAGUCUGAAUUCACUUUUUCAUAAUAAUAUUUGUUUUUAACAAAAAUGAUAUUUUUUUAGCUAUGUGGUUUACUGUAUUAAAACUAAAAGUAAUUAAAAUAAAUAUUUGAAAAUAUUUUAAAGACUUCAAAUAAUACAAAAAAAAAUGUUUCUCUUUAAUCAAAAUCCCUUCUCUUAUUUUUUUCUUGACAAAAACAUGUUUUUUUAAUGAUAAAUAUUCUUUAAAAAAAACUAUCAUAAUCGUCAUAGAAAGGUUGAUUAAAAAAACAAAACAAAUGAUGGAUUGAUAAUUUUUAAUUUAAAUUAUUUAAAAAUACAAGAAUUAUAAAUUUGAGAAACAAUAUGUAAAAAUUUAUAACAAGAAACAACAAAAUAGAUUAACAAGUAAAUAUUUUAGAAACUUAUGCAUAUUAGGUAAUUAAUGUAUAAUUAUUUGUAAGUAAUUGUUAAUAACACCAUAAACUUAUAUGAAAAAAAUGGCAUAAUCGAAUAGUUAUGUAAAUCUUUUUUUAAUAAGUUUAUUUAAAGAGAAUAUUAUUAUAAAAAAAAUUUAAAUAAAAAACAAUCAGAAAAAUAUUGAAUGGGUAUUGUAAAAAGAAGGGUCAAACAUGCUUGGGCUAGAAAAAUAGGUCAUAUGUCUAUUCUAUAAUUAAAACCUCAAAUACACCUAGUAUUUUUUAAAGAGAAGACAAAAAGUCAGUCGAUUCUAUUUUUAAAAAAUUAAAUUGACAACGAUCACUUACUUAGAUAGAUAAUGUGUCAUCCCUUUUUCCAACCUUUUAAAUCAUUAGAGGUGGGUCUAUAGACUAGAAAAACAAGGUCCAAGUUUUUGCACCCAAAAUCCAUAUUUAAACCAUUUUUUAUCCAAGAACAUGAAAAAAUACCAUAUGAACUUUUAAAAUCUCAUUUCUAACAACAAAACACAUUUUAAUUGGUCUGAAAACUAAAAAUUAUAUCAAAUUUUUUUUUUCAAGUAUCAAUCUAAUUUUCCUAGCACCAUUAAAUGUAGAAACCAUCUACUUUGAGUUCCUCUUUUGAAGUUGAAUUCAUAGUCAACAAAAUCAAAGUGCUAUUGGUGGUCAGAUUCUGCCACCCUAGAGCUUUUUGUCUCAACUUUUUUGACAUCUUUCUCUUUUAUUUUUCAACCUAUAUGGACUAAAAUGUGGAAAAAAAAUUCACAACCAAAAUGUAAUAACAUAAAAAAAAUAAGGAUGAAAUAUGUAAAAAUUAAAACUUGAGGGAUCAAAUGUAAUUUUUGUGUGCCAUCUAUGGAAAAGGUUUUUUAUUCUUCUUUUAUGUAAAUCUUAAUCCUUAAUCUCUCAAUUUAUUUUUUAACAAAAAGUUCAAACUUUAUUUUAUAAAAUUGAUCAUUAAUUUUAAGGUUAGAACAUUUAACAAAAAAUAAACAAAAAAAGAAAAAACAUAUUAAAAUAGAUUUCAGUGCAUGAAAACUUAACUUCAAGAGAUGAAAUUAAAAAGAAAUGAACAAUGAAUUUAGCAAUCGAAUUAUAAACGUGCAAAACUAUAGAACUAAAAUAUAAAAAAUGACAAAACAUAACCAGUAAAUGAACAAUAAGCUGUGAGUGUGUGCAAUUUUUUUUUCAUAGUGAAAUGCGGUUGUAAUUUAGUUUUUUGGUUAAUAAUUAGUAUUUAACCCAAAAUCUAACCAAAACCAUGUUAAUAAUCAAGCACCCUGCCCGUUGGGUUAUUCCUCUAUUUUCCCUUUAUCUCUUCGUCUAUUUUCAAGGUAAUAUUUUCUCAAAUUUUAUUCAUAGUUGCUUAGUUAGAUAUCCCAAAGUUUUGUAUCAUUUUCAAUAAUUGAAGUUUGAUUUUGAAAACUUUAUUUGACAAAGUCUAAAUUUAACAUAAUUUUUUUAACUAGAGAUUAAAUUAAUUGAUUUUAUGAAUUGCUUAAAGUAAGAUCAUACUAUAUUGAUACUCAAGUAUCUUUUUCACUCUUUUUGAUCUUUCAAUAUCCACAAAUGAAUAUCGAUCAUUCUAAGUUAUGGGAUUAUAUAUUUGGUUUAUAUAAAACCCCGCUCUAAUUACUAGUAAUUUUUCUUUUUCUAACCACCAUUAAUGGAGUUGAGAUCUAAUUUAACAAAUUUCAGCCUAACCAUUUUUAGAAAUUUAAAUAUCAUAAGAUUUAGGAAAAAUUACAUAAAUUCUCCAAUAAUUUUAUCUGAGUUUCACUUUCUUUCUAUACUUUCAUAAAUUACACUCUACAUCCUAUAUCAAACAAAAAAUUCAAACAAAAUACAUUAUUGAGGAUGUAAACUAUUAUUGAACAUAUAAACUAUAAGAUGAAAAGUGUAAUUUAUGAAAGUGUAGAGGAAAAAUGAAAUUCAUAUCAAACUAUAGAAGGGUUUUUAUAAUUAUCCCUAAAAUUUAUAUAUAUUUGAAUAUAUUAAAAUUUAUAUAUAUUUUGAUCCCAUUUGAAGAAGUACUGAAAAACCUUCAGACAUAAUAUGGAUUUUUUAUAGCUGCAUCCUUGGUGGGGUUGUGGAGUGACUAGGUUAGUCUCUGAUGAACUUCACUAAAAAGCUAAACGUUCACCUGAAAGAAACACGGCAUCACCAAACACGCAAAUAGCCUUAGAGUUAUUUUUGAUAUACUUAACACCAAGGACAGAGCCAGGAAUUUUUAUAGCCUGGGCUAUUAAAUAAAUAUAUAAUUUUUUUAAAGAUAAAUUAGUAAUUUAUUUACAUGAAUUUUGGAAGUUAACAGUAAAGUUUUAAUUCAAAUACACUACCUAAAAUAUUAAAAAAUAAAUUUAAAGGUACAUAAAAUUAAAGUGAAAGUAAAAAUAAACCAACUAUUGAAGUUACAUUCUUUGAUGUUUUGUGGAAUAUAAUUCAUUUAUAAUCGAAUCUGAAUCAAUAUUGUAACAACCCCUCAACCAUGAUAAAAUAACAAUCUCAUGUCAACUGGAAAACAAAGUAAUUAAAUUCUCUCUCUCUCUCAAUUCCUCCUUCCUUCACUUGAUUAUUUCUUAGAUUAGUGUUUUAUAAGUUCGACUUUGUAAGUUUACAAGGUUAUUCUCACAUUGUUUUUAUUUUUUUUCUUGGAUUUUUUUUUUAUGUUUUUCCCUUACUUUUCUCUCUUUAUCACUUAUUUUUUACUUUUAUUUUUUUUUUGUUAGCACUACCAAACUUUGUUCAUCCUAAAAUUUUAACCAGAUUUUAUUUAAUAUAUUUUAAGAUCCCUUAUAAAAGUUUAGCUCAAUCUGAUUGUCGGAUUGAAAAUUACACUCAAUAACGUAAAACUGGUCAAAUUGUGAUUUUUCAUUCAAAUUUCUUCAAAAAAUCUGAAAUUUUAACCCAAGCUAAAGUAUCAUAUUAAAAGGCUCCAUGUAAAUUUUCAGAAUUUUUUAAUAACUCAAUCAAGAAUUACAAAUUGUUUUUACAUAAAACUAGUAAAAAAAUAUUAAUAAAAUCUUGACCUGUGCUAUAGCCCACCCAAGCCUUUAUAUGCCUUCGUCCUUGCUUAACACUUGCUCAAGGAAUGGUAAUGGCGAGGGAUAUAAAUUCAUAUAAAAAUCACUGUGGUGAUUUGCAAGAGCAGAAAAUUUAAGGGGUUUUUUUGAGAAAUCUCUCGUGAACAGAUUGAGAGUGGUGGGAUUUUUGGGGUCCAUUCACUUGCCUGCCUUUUGGAUAAGAGUUGCUAAAUGGAAGCCAUCAAAAGACGAAGCACGUUUCCUGCAUGGUGUUUAAGAACCACACACAUAUAUAUAUAUAUAUAUAUAUAAAUGUUUGGCAUUCUGAGCGAAUAUUAGUUUUUCUUUUGUGGUGCAUCUGUGCCGUCCGUCCUUUCACUGUAUUUCAGGAGCGACACUAUUUCUGUCAUCGUUUUCGUGGGACCAGGUCGAAGAACACAACAUGUUUUCUUCUUUCCAGAGGCGCCUGCUUCAUUACUUACAAAGCCGACAAAAGUAUUUACUACACCGAAUGAUAUUAGAUUUACAAAAAAAUCUUUAGAAUAUUCAGGGAUAUUCCAGUCAGUAAAAUC